This 252-nucleotide ribosomal RNA is filed under the name uncultured bacterium. RNAcentral's name for it is "partial 16S ribosomal RNA". It matches the Rfam family "Bacterial small subunit ribosomal RNA", at positions 524 to 775 of the family's 1533-position model. The record is from RNAcentral.
GACAGAGGAUGCAAGCGUUAUCCGGAAUGAUUGGGCGUAAAGCGUCUGUAGGUGGCUUUUUAAGUCCGCCGUCAAAUCCCAGGGCUCAACCCUGGAACUGCCUCUAAUACUGGGCAUCUAGAGUCCGAGAGAGGUGAGUGGAAUUCCGAGUGUAGAGGUGAAAUUCGUAGAUAUUCGGAGGAACACCAGUGGCGAAGGCGGCUCACUGGCUCGGUACUGACGCUGAGGUGCGAAAGCGUGGGGAGCAACAGG